Molecule: ribosomal RNA, 253 nt
Filed under: uncultured bacterium
Lineage: Bacteria
Description: partial 16S ribosomal RNA
Rfam family: Bacterial small subunit ribosomal RNA
Source: RNAcentral
UACGUAGGGGGCUAGCGUUGUCCGGAAUCAUUGGGCGUAAAGAGCGUGUAGGCGGUCCGGUAAGUCCGUUGUGAAAGUCAAGGGCUCAACCCUUGAAUGCCGGCGGAUACUGUCGGGCUCGAGUACGGAAGAGGCGAGUGGAAUUCCUGGUGUAGCGGUGAAAUGCGCAGAUAUCAGGAGGAACACCAAUUGCGAAGGCAGCUCGCUGGGACGUUACUGACGCUGAGACGCGAAAGCGUGGGGAGCAAACAGG